This 2712-nucleotide long non-coding RNA is filed under the name Equus caballus (horse). RNAcentral describes it as "lncRNA (ENSECAG00000053137.1)". The record is from RNAcentral. Lineage: Eukaryota; Metazoa; Chordata; Mammalia; Perissodactyla; Equidae.
CAGUUUAAAAGGAGCCCGCUAGGGUGGGCCCUAAUCUAACCUGAGUGGUGUCCUUUUAAGAAGAGAAAAUUUGCAUCACAAGAGACAUCAGGGAUGUGUGGGUACAGAGGAAAGACCGUGUGAGGAUUCAAGGAGAAGGCGGCCAUCAGCAAGGCGAGGAGAGAGGCCUCAGGAGAAACCAGCCCUGCUGACACUUUGAUCUUGAACUUCCAGUCUCCUGAGCUGCAGGAAGUUCACUACAAUAUGUGGGCACCUAGAUACAUCAUAGCGAAAAUGCAAGUUCCUAUAGCUCCAUAUCUAGAGUUCUUGGUGAAGUCUAACUUUAAUACUGGAAAACUUCAGGCGCUCUGGCCCUCUAGAUGCCCAGCCACCCCAGCCUUGUCAUCUGGAGUGACCAGACCCUCUCUGGGAGGUGUGUGGCUGGUGGUUACGAACUCAGCCUCAAACCAAACCAUGUGGGUUUAUUUCCUGCCUUGACCAGCUCUGAGUCCACAUCCCUGAGCCCAGACCCUGUGCUAAACUUGCCUUGACUCCGCCCCUUGCACUUCUGGGGACUCAAAUUUUGUUCCUGAGCUCUAUUUCCUUGCUGAAUCCCCUCUCUCAGAAAGCCUGCCUGAACCCCUUAUUUCUUGUUUAGAAAAUUUGUCUCCUAACCUAGGAGUUGGCAAACCAUGGCCUGUGAGCCAUAUCUGGCCCACCGCCUGUUCUUGUAAAUAAAGUUUUAUUGCGACACAGCCAUUCUCAUGCAUUUACACAUGGUCUGUGGCUGCUUUCCUGGCACAACAGCAGCUGAGUAGUUGUGACAGAGGAAAUAUGGCCCUCCAGUCUAAAACAUUCACUAUCUGGCCCUUGACUGAAAAAGUUUAGUGUUCCUUGUCUGUGUGGGUUGAAUUAUGUCCUCUGAAAAAGAUGUGUUGAAUCUCCAGUACCUCAGCAUGUGGCCUUGUUUGGAAAUAGCAUUGUUAUAGAAGUAAUCACAUUAAAAUGAGGUCAUGAGGGUGAGCCCAAAUCCGAUAUGACUACUGUCCUUAUAAAAAUGGGAAAUUUGGACACAGAGUGUAUUAGCUAUGUUUUCUUAUUUUCUGCAUUUUUGAUGCUCUGGCAUCUGGGGCUUUGGUGACUGGAGUGGGACUGCCCCUCCCAGGGCUAGCCAGUCCCUAGAGAUAGCAAAUGACUUGCACAGAACCACACCCUUCAUGCAUCCUCACCCAUCUGGAGCCCAUUCUCCAAACCACCUCCUCUGUCUGGCUCUUACGCUCCAGGAGGCAAUGGCAAUAUUCCUAAUCACCCAAGGGCAGCAUGGGACCACUAGGAGCACCCCCACAGCCCAGAGCCUGCUGACAUUAUUCAACCCAUCCAAUCCGAAACCUGCUCAGCUUGCGCACCUUGUUUUCCUCCUUCCUUCCCAUGAAAACCACAAUAAGGACUCCUGCCCACACUUUCUCCUCGCUCCUUCUGCCUCCUCACCAGCGCUGCUGCUUCCCUCUGUGGCCCUGCGUGGCAUGCUGUGCCCCCUCCUCGUGGGAACUAUGAGUAACAAACUAUCUUUUCAAAGACAAUCGUCUCCUGAUCUGUUGGGCUCACCAUACCUGAAUAAAACCAAAAUCACAGACACAUUUCAAAACACAGAGACAGAGACACUCAGAGGGAAAGUAACAUAAAGACACAGAGAAAGCGCCAUGUGAAGACGGAAGAGUGAAGUGAUGUAUCUGUAAGCCAAAGAACACUCAAGGCUACCAGAAGCUGGAAGAAAAGCGUGGAACAGUUCCUUCCCUAGCACCUUCAGAGGGAGCACGGCCCUGCCAACACCUUGAUUUUGGACUUCUGGCCUCUGGAAUGUGAGACAAUAAAUUUCUGUUGUUUGAAGCCACUAAGUUUGUAGUAUUUUGUUAUGGCAGCCUAGGAGGCCAAUACACCACCUAACCAAUUAUUUUGUUUUGUUUUCUUUAUUUCUCGUUGUUCUCCUAUUGACACUUUUGUAUGGUGUCUUACUGUCAUUUCAUGGUGACCCUCACACACAUUAUUGCAUUUGGGUCUUGUGAGGUAGGUAGGCCAAUGGGCAGCCCGUUUAACCCAAGACCGAGGCUCAGAGAUUUCGGGGCACUUGCACAAGUUCACCCCACAAGGCAGUAAAUGGGGAAAAAAACUAGUUUCUACUGAGGGCUCGUUAUGUGCUUUCCUCACAUUGUCUCAGGACACCUAUACAACCGACCUGAGGGUUAGUUGCUGAGCAAUUAUACUAAUAAUCAGACAACCAUCAAUGUGAAAAGGAUGCUUUCUUCUCUCCUCACUUCCCCCUGUCUCUACUUGGCAUCUCAAGGCAGAGUGUGAAGGAGGUCAGACAUCCACAGCACUGUACCGUCCCGAGUGGAACCAGCCUUCACUGACUGGACCACCUAGGGAAGUGGUUUCCUCAGAGGGCAAUACCGAACCUUCCAGUGUGUAGUAAAACAGGACAAGAGAACUCCAGAGACCCCUUCUGCUGCCCCCAUGGGCUGUGUGGGGGUCCGAGGAGGGGAGAGUGGGGAGAGGUCUGAGGCUAUUCCAGCGUGUAACGCUGGCGUGAAAGCUGGAGCUGGUUCUGGUCAAGGCUUGGUCUGGACGCCGUGCAUGCCCCCGACCUCUGACGCCAGGUGCCCCUUGAAUCUCCUGAGGUCCCUGCAGCUGUGUUCUCUGUUUCUUCCUUGUCCAGUUGUUACAGCUUCUUCCACA